This 551-nucleotide long non-coding RNA is filed under the name Populus trichocarpa (black cottonwood). RNAcentral's name for it is "long non-coding RNA (PTRI_LNC004622)". Lineage: Eukaryota; Viridiplantae; Streptophyta; Magnoliopsida; Malpighiales; Salicaceae. The record is from RNAcentral.
GUCCAGAAUGAAGGGACAAUGUGUUGUUUAAGGAUUAAACAACUAAACACCUAAUAGGGGGUGAAUUAGGUAUGUUACUAAAUUCUACAAUGAAUACAAAUUACUUUAAAUAACACAAUAACCAUAAUCAAAGUACUUAAACUAAAGAUAUAAGAAAAGAGAAAUUGCAAACUCAUUCUUAACGUGACCUGACAAACCUACUGUUGGGAAUUUCGCCCGAACCGGUGAUGUUCUGAUAGUUGCUCAUUGAAAGCUUAGCACACUGAGACACAAUAUUUAACGUGGUUCGGCAAAUCACCUACAUCCACGGGAGAGUUCUGUAUUAUUAGAGACAGAGAAAUGAUACAAUACAAAUACAUGGAGGAGGAGGAUCACUUCACUCAAACUCUACUCCCAUUGCUCUCACACAUUACUGCACAUGGCAGCAGGGUUGCUGCCCUUGGCAGCUACUCCUCUUUCUCUAUUGUUCUCUUUUUUUCUGUACUGCACUCACUUCAUCACGUUGCUGCACUUGUAGCUACUACAAUGGCAGCCCUUCUCUGCAGCUCUGU